Molecule: unclassified non-coding RNA, 294 nt
Filed under: Rhizophagus sp. (in: glomeromycetes)
Lineage: Eukaryota; Fungi; Glomeromycota; Glomeromycetes; Glomerales; Glomeraceae
Description: partial contains 5.8S ribosomal RNA and internal transcribed spacer 2
Rfam family: 5.8S ribosomal RNA (bases 1-65)
Source: RNAcentral
GUGAAUCAUCGAAUCUUUGAACGCAAAUUGCACUCUCUUCGGAGAGUAUGCCUGUUUGAGGGUCAGAAUUAAUAAAAAUUGUCGAUUUGCUGCGUUGUCGCUCUCCGGAUUUUGGAUCAUCUUAAUAUCCUUUAGGCUUUAAGAGGCUUAAAAUUGACUUUUUUUUCGCAUUGUAGGUGUACAUAAAUUCUUUUUUUUAUUCGUCUGGCGUAAUGCUCGAAAUCCUAUUGGAUGCGACCAUAUCGUGUAGUUUGGCGUCUAUAAAUUUUUCAUGAUUUGACCUCAAAUCAGGUA